Non-coding RNA from Trichonephila inaurata madagascariensis, 73 nucleotides. The record is from the annotation of a GenBank genome assembly. NCBI's taxonomy places the organism in Eukaryota, Metazoa, Arthropoda, Arachnida, Araneae, Nephilidae.
GACCUUGUAGUACAAUGGGUAGCACGUUGGACUUCUACCUCAAAGGUCGUGGGUUCGAAUCCCACCUGGGUUG